Long non-coding RNA from Mercenaria mercenaria, 909 nucleotides. RefSeq lists it as uncharacterized. The transcript is spliced from 6 exons. The record is from RefSeq and is a predicted model, not a curated record. NCBI's taxonomy places the organism in Eukaryota, Metazoa, Mollusca, Bivalvia, Venerida, Veneridae.
AGUGUUUUAAUGACACAUUUAAAGUCUUGCAAAUGUUACUAGUAUAAAGGUAUUUUUCUACAACAGUAUAGUUUACUAAACAUUAUAAAUUAACUGAAAUGGGUGACGUUUUGUUCAAAACCUGAUUACUUUCAUAGUCGCAAUUAUUGGUAUUUUGGUUGGCCUGUGCUCUGUCCAUGCUGAAUCAUGUGGAAGAUACGAUAACUUCACCGACAUCGUUUUUGAAUGCCGUCAAAACGAAGGUGGAAUGCUUGUUUUAUCAGAGCUGUCUGCUUGGCAUUAUGGUGACGACACAGAGAUAACUAAGAAAGAAUUUGUGGAAGACACCGAGGCUUAUUGCAGAAACGUAACCCCAAAAUACAAGGAGUGUAUAUCUGGCUCAUCGGCUUUGCAGAAGUGUGGAAAUUCAGAAGACAUUACAACUGCAAUGGGGAAGGUAUCGCUGACUGGCUGAAAGAGUAUGUUUCCCAGGGUUUCAACUUCAAGCACGCAUGCGCCUUGGGUGAACACAACAUAAGUUUGAAGUGUUAUUUUGAUCAGGUUUUCAAAACAAAUCAACAUAACACAGGUGUGUACAGUAUCAAGGAAUAUAAUGAGUGGGCGAAAAGAGUGUCGACUGACUGGUUUGAUUGCACGAAAGAUAAGAUGCCUCAGCUGAAGUCUUUGUACACUGAAUGUACAUCUCAUUGGCAAGACGCCCUCCUUGUUGCCUGGCUGUCUUACUCCGUCUCGUUUCAUCCUGGGCUAAGGCUAUAUCCAGAACAGAUAUCUCAAAUACUAGCUAUAAAGAAAUUAUCAGUCUAGACACUAUUGUCUUUGCCCUUGGAGCAAGAAACGUACAGUAAGCGAAAACAAAUAUACAUACUGACAUUCGAGACAUGUGUUGUUUUGUCAAUAAAGAAGUAGAGC